Molecule: long non-coding RNA, 401 nt
Organism: Oryza sativa Japonica Group (Japanese rice)
Lineage: Eukaryota; Viridiplantae; Streptophyta; Magnoliopsida; Poales; Poaceae
Source: RefSeq, a predicted model, not a curated record
UAUCAAUUAACCCUUGUGUCUAAUUUAUUUCAGGAACAUGCUCUGCUCAGUAUGUCCAAAUCAUGGUGCUGCACUUCUCAAAGGUUGAUCAUAGCUCAGGCAAUGGUAAUAUGAUGCAAUGAUCCUGCUAUCAAGGGUCUAUCUUCGAUGAAGAAAUCAGUCUAUCUUCGAUGAAUAAAUCAUUCUCACUUGUUGGACAGCAUAUUUAUAUGUACUUUUGCUUAAUGCCCUAUUGUUGAUGUGACUUUUGGAUCUGUAAACCGUUAUGUUUAUUUUGCUUUAUCCUCUAUUACCUUGUCAGUUCUUUGGAACUACAGAUAUCUUUCGUUACCAUGUCCUUUUGUUAAGACUUGUGUUCGGACUGGUAUGAUAUUAUCGAUUAAUCUAUGGUAUUUGAGUUA